GUCCACGCCCUAAACGAUGUCAACUGGAUGUUGGAGGGUUAACCUUUAGUGUCGUAGCUAACGCGAGAAGUUGACCGCCUGGGGAGUACGGCCGCAAGGCUAAAACUCAAAGGAAUUGACGGGGACCCGCACAAGCGGUGGAUGAUGUGGAUUAAUUCGAUGCAACGCGAAAACCUUACCUACCCUUGACAUGUCAGGAAUCCUGGAGAGAUCUGGGAGUGCUCGAAAGAGAGCCUGAACACAGGUGCUGCAUGGCUGUCGU
This 262-nucleotide ribosomal RNA is filed under the name uncultured bacterium. RNAcentral's name for it is "partial 16S ribosomal RNA". It matches the Rfam family "Bacterial small subunit ribosomal RNA", at positions 793 to 1055 of the family's 1533-position model. The record is from RNAcentral.